Molecule: ribosomal RNA, 253 nt
Filed under: uncultured bacterium
Lineage: Bacteria
Description: partial 16S ribosomal RNA
Rfam family: Bacterial small subunit ribosomal RNA
Source: RNAcentral
UACGGAGGGGGCUAGCGUUGUUCGGAAUUACUGGGCGUAAAGCGCACGUAGGCGGACUGUUAAGUCGGGGGUGAAAUCCUGGGGCUCAACCUCAGAAUUGCCUCCGAUACUGGCAGUCUCGAGUGCGGGAGAGGUGAGUGGAAUUCCCAGUGUAGAGGUGAAAUGCGCAGAUAUCGGGAAGAACACCCGUGGCGAAGGCGGUUCUCUGGGACGGUACUGACGCUGAGACGCGAAAGCGUGGGGAGCGAACAGG